GUGCCAGCAGCCGCGGUAAUACGUAGGGGGCGAGCGUUGUCCGGAAUUACUGGGCGUAAAGCGCGCGUAGGCGGCUUAGUAAGUCAGACGUGGAAGCCCCGGGCUCAACCUGGGAAUUGCGUCUGAAACUGCUAGGCUAGAGUGCAGAAGGGGAUGUCGGAAUUCCUGGUGUAGCGGUGAAAUGCAUAGAUAUCAGGAAGAACACCGGUGGCGAAGGCGGACAUCUGGGCUGAUACUGACGCUGAGGCGCGAAAGCUAGGGGAGCAAACCGGAUUAGAAACCCCUGUAGUCC
Molecule: ribosomal RNA, 292 nt
Filed under: uncultured bacterium
Lineage: Bacteria
Description: partial 16S ribosomal RNA
Rfam family: Bacterial small subunit ribosomal RNA
Source: RNAcentral